Molecule: unclassified non-coding RNA, 310 nt
Filed under: uncultured Rozellomycota
Lineage: Eukaryota; Fungi; Rozellomycota
Description: uncultured Cryptomycota sequence contains ITS2
Source: RNAcentral
AACGCACCUUGCACCAUAUGAGCAAUCGUAUGGUAUACCUGUUUGAGAAUCGUAAAAACCCACUCCUACCCUUGGGUAGGGAAGUGUCGGUUUGAGCUAGCUCAAUCUGAUCAAAAGCAGUAGGUCUAGUCAGGCUGGUGGCCUGGGACAUUGUGUGCUAGAGACGUCGUUCGCGGCAGUCUUCUCACGAUGCGUCCCUGGGCUAUUCAAGCUGGUCUGAUGUCGAUCUCUACGUGUUUUGACCGUCAAAAGUCAAAACACAACCCCCCUUUUUGAUCUCAAAUCAGGUAAGGCUACCCGCUGAACUUAA